ACGGGAGGCAGCAGUGGGGAAUAUUGGGCAAUGGGCGAAAGCCUGACCCAGCGACGCCGCGUGAAGGAAGAAGAUCCUCGGAUUGUAAACUUCAGUCAACAGGGAAGAAACAAAUGACGGUACCUGUGGAGGAAGCCACGGCUAACUACGUGCCAGCAGCCGCGGUAAUACGUAGGUGGCGAGCGUUAUCCGGAAUUACUGGGUGUAAAGGGUGAGUAGGCGGGAAGGCAAGUCAGAUGUGAAAUGCAGGAGCUCAACUCCUGAGCUGCAUUUGAAACUGUUUCUCUUGAGAGUCGGAGGGGUAAUCGGAAUUCCCAGUGUAGCGGUGAAAUGCGCAGAGAUUGGGAGGAACACCAGUGGCGAAGGCGGAUUACUGGACGACAACUGACGCUGAGACACGAAAGCGUGGGGAGCAAACAGGAUUAGAUACCCUGGUA
This 437-nucleotide ribosomal RNA is filed under the name uncultured Clostridium sp. RNAcentral's name for it is "partial 16S ribosomal RNA". It matches the Rfam family "Bacterial small subunit ribosomal RNA", at positions 341 to 792 of the family's 1533-position model. Lineage: Bacteria; Bacillati; Bacillota; Clostridia; Eubacteriales; Clostridiaceae. The record is from RNAcentral.